ACGGGAGGCAGCAGUGAGGAAUAUUGGUCAAUGGGCGGAAGCCUGAACCAGCCAAGUCGCGUGAAGGAAGACGGUAUUAUGUAUUGUAAACUUCUUUAGCAGUAGAGCAAUAACCCCCUUGCGAGGGGGGAUGAGAGUAUACUGAGAAUAAGCAUCGGCUAACUCCGUGCCAGCAGCCGCGGUAAUACGGAGGAUGCGAGCGUUAUCCGGAUUUAUUGGGUUUAAAGGGAGCGUAGGCCGUGCUUUAAGCGUGUUGUGAAAUGUAGGCGCCCAACGUCUGCACUGCAGCGCGAACUGGAGCACUUGAGUACGCAGGAAGUAGGCGGAAUUCGUCGUGUAGCGGUGAAAUGCUUAGAUAUGACGAAGAACUCCGAUUGGGAAGCCAGCUUACUGUAGCGCCACUGACGCUGAUGCUCGAAAGCGUGGGUAUCGAACAGGAUUAGAUACCCUGGUA
RNAcentral lists this ribosomal RNA (454 nucleotides) under uncultured Prevotella sp. RNAcentral describes it as "partial 16S ribosomal RNA". It matches the Rfam family "Bacterial small subunit ribosomal RNA", at positions 341 to 792 of the family's 1533-position model. The record is from RNAcentral. Lineage: Bacteria; Pseudomonadati; Bacteroidota; Bacteroidia; Bacteroidales; Prevotellaceae.